GUUCACAAUUUUGAAGUAUUCAAUAAUAUAAUGAAUACAUAGCAAUCAUAAAAGUCUUCCAAUCCUGCUGUAUUGGGCUAUAGCCACUGUGAGUAAUGAGGGUCUGGUCUUUUGAUUAAAAUGGAGCAGGUUGAUAUUUUCACUCCAACUCUAGGUCCUAUAUCAGAUUCCCUAUGUGAACACACAUGCAGUCACACACACAGCUACUGUACUUUCAACUUUAUUUCCAACUGGUUUCCUCCAUCAGGCAUUUCCUUUAAGAAUUAUCCCCUUAGGGCCUUCAGGAUUUUAUACCAUCCGAUACUGCAGUAUUGGUGAUCCAAAUGGAGAAUGUUUGUCCUUGUAGUAGGUUGCUUUCUCCUGGGACACCAUGUAUUUAUUACCAGUUUGCUCCAGUUUUGUAUGUAUAAGUAAAGUACAUAAGUAAAUUCCAUCCCACUGCACAUUAAUCUGCAUUAAACACACACACACACACACACACACACACACACACACACACACACUCAGCAUUAGUAUUGAAGCUAAAGGCUCCAAAUCUUCAGUGAAUGAUUCUAAACAGUAAUGUAGUGGACAAUGCUUAACUUUUGCCAGAUUACCAGAGACUCAAAUUGAACCGCAUUUAAAAAGAAAAUCAAGAAAUUCAAAAUCUUAGAGGAAGAAAAGGUAACCAAGUGUUCAAAAUUGCUUUGAAGGGAUCGUUGUUCCCAUCCUUAAGUGACAAGUAUUUGAAUGGAGAAAAAAAGAUAAAAUAAAAUCAGUAAUAGUUACUAUGCAUGUUAAAUGGAUUUCUGGUAUUUUGCUGGCAAAGUUAUGAGAACAAGUAGUCUUAGAUUUAGAUGCUACUAAACACUGUAAGGUAUGUUCUUCCCUUCUUGGUUACUCUAUUAGGAUUGUCACCACUUGUGUCUCUACUACAUGAUGGCAGCAUUACAAAUUGGUUGUGGCACUAUGGUAUUUUACAAAGGUUCUUGUCUCUUUUUAUUUCAGUCUAUCUUUAAUACAUGACAGAAUAUAGUUUGGUUGUAAAUGCUGUGGUUUCAUAUCUAACAAGAGCUUUAUGUGAGAGGAAUCUGUUUCAUUAUUUGAAAAACUUCAAGCUAACAUUUCUAUUAUCCACAUAGUGUAUUUCUGCCCUAUACACGAUUUAGACAGUCUUGAAAGUGUGCAAAAAUCCUCAAAUUCUCCAAACCAUAUGAGAUACUGAGUAGAAGCUUCUCUAUAAAGAGAUUUGUGUGCCAUAACAGUACAUUCCCUGAUGGCAAAGUUUUAGCUACAUUGCAGUAAGUACCGUGUUUCCCCGAAAAUAAGACAGUGUCUUAUAUUAAUUUUUGCUCCCAAAGAUGCACUAGGUCUUAUUUUCAGGGGAUGUCUUAUUUUUCCAUGAAGAAGAAUUCAAUUUUAUUGUUGAACAAAAAAAAUGAACAUUUAUUACAGUAGUACAGUAGUUGUCAUCAUAAACCAGCAUAACCAGACAAAUUGUGAAUCCUAUCAAGUAUUUCUUGUUAUUACCAAUAUUUCCAUGUACAACACUCUAUGAUACGUACAUUUACUGAUCCUGCAUGCUCUGGUGUUCUGUUCGGCGGGCAUCCUUCCAAACAAAAACUUGGCUAGGUCUUACUUUCGGGGGAGGCCUUAUAUUUAGCAAUUCAGCAAAACCUCUACUAGGUCUUAUUUUCUGGAGAUGUCUUAUUUUAGGGGAAACAGGGUAGUAUGUAAAUACCACCCUUUAAAAAAAUCCAGAUUUAAAGUGUUCUAAUUAAAAUUUGGUUGGAAAAAGGAGGGAGGGAGGUUAGGUUAAUAUGGAAUUACCA
Molecule: long non-coding RNA, 1811 nt
Filed under: Anolis carolinensis (green anole)
Lineage: Eukaryota; Metazoa; Chordata; Lepidosauria; Squamata; Anolidae
Description: lncRNA (ENSACAG00000042756.1)
Source: RNAcentral